Molecule: transfer RNA, 36 nt
Filed under: Rubus odoratus
Lineage: Eukaryota; Viridiplantae; Streptophyta; Magnoliopsida; Rosales; Rosaceae
Description: partial tRNA-Phe
Source: RNAcentral
UCGGGAUAGCUCAGCUGGUAGAGCAAGGAACUGAAA